This is a long non-coding RNA of Phyllopteryx taeniolatus (common seadragon), 3240 nucleotides long. RefSeq lists it as uncharacterized. The record is from RefSeq and is a predicted model, not a curated record. Lineage: Eukaryota; Metazoa; Chordata; Actinopteri; Syngnathiformes; Syngnathidae. The transcript is spliced from 3 exons.
GUUUCACGCAAAGUACGUCUGCGAUGAUGACGUUUCCGAAACUGUAGUCGGAUUCUUUUGCAACAGUGCCGUCUUUUUCUUUAUAUGAAAGGAAGCGCCUUUCCAUCUCGCCUGGACAACGCUAUUUCUCAAAAUCAGGCGGGAUGGUGCAUGACUGGUAAGCAGAUCUUCCUCACAGUUCUGAUGACCGGAGUUCAAAUCCGGUCUCGCCUGUGUGCAGUUUCCAUGUUCUCCCCGUGCCUGCAUGGGUCUUCUCAGGGUACCCCGGAAAAAUUUAAUGGUAUGCACGUUCAGGGUGAACCCUGCCACUCGCCCAAUGUCGGCUGGAAUAGGUUCCAGCACGCCCGCGACCCUAGUGAGGAGAAGCGGUACAGAAAAUGGAUGAUGGAUGUAUUACUCAAAAUCCUAAAUGAUCCUAAAUAAUUAAAAUGCAGAUGCCAGUGCACUUAAAGCACCUCAAUGCUAGAGAUAAAUGUAAGGAAUGACUUACUUGAUGAACUGUUAAACAACUGGAUGCUAAAAUAAAUAAAAUAAACAAAAGGAAAAUGUUUCUUGGUCAUCGAGUAAAAUCCAGAUGAAAUCUUUCCAUCGCUGAAUCAAUUUAUUUCAAGUGGGGAAGCUGCACAUCCAUCCAUUUUCUACCGCUUAUCCGAGGUUGGGUCGCGGCGGCAGUAGCUUUAGCAGGGACGCCGAGACUUCCCUCCCCCCAGCUACUUCAUCCAGCUCUUCUGGGGGGAUCCCGAGGCGUUCCCAGGCCAGCCAAAAGACGUAGUCUCUCCAGAGUGUCCUGGGUCGUCCCCGGGGCCUCCUCCCGGUGGCACGUACCCGGAACACCUCACCAGGUAGGCGUCUGGGAGGCAUCCGAAUCAGAUGCCCCAGCCACCACAUCUGGCUCCUCUCGAUGUGGAGGAGCAGCGGCUCUACUCACGGAUGACCAAGCUUCUCACCCGAAGGGAGAGCCCGGACACCCUGCGGAUGAAAGUCAUUUCGGCCACUUGCAUCCGGGAUCUUGUUCUUUCGGUCACGACCCACAGCUCAUGACCAUAGGUGAGUGUAGGAACAUAGAUCGACCGGUAAAUUGAGAGCUCCGCCUUUCGGCUUAGCUCCUUCUUUACCACAACGGACCGAUACAAAGUCCGCAUCACUGCAGACGCUGCACCGAUCUACCUGUCGAUCUCCCGUUCCAUUCUUCCCUCACUCAUGAACAAGACCCCAAGAUACUUGAACUCCUCCACUUGGGGCAGGAUCUCAUGCCCGACCCGGAGAGGGCACGCCACCCUUUUCCAACUGAGGACCAUCGACCAAUCUGGUGCUGAUUCUCAUCCCAGCCGCUUCACACACUGCUGCGAACUGCUCCAGUGACAAUUGGAGAUCACGGCUUGAUGAAGCCAACAGAACCACAUCAUCUGCAAAAAGCAGAGAUGCAAUAGUGAGGCCACCAAACCGGACUCCCCUACGCCUCGGCUGCGCCUUGAAAUUCUGUUCAUAAUCGGUGACAAAGGGCAGCCUUGGCAGAGUCCAACCCUCACCGGGAACGAGUCAGACUUACUGCUGGAUAUGCAGACCAAACACUGACUCCGGUUGUACAGGGACCAAACAGCCCGUAUCAGCCCCAUACUCCCGAAGCACCCCCCCACAGGACUCCCCGAGGGACAAGGUCGAACGCCUUCUCCAAGUCCACAAAAGACAUGUAGACUGGUUAGGCGAACUCCCAUGUACCCUCGAGGAUCUUGCUGAGGGUGUAGAGCUGGUCCACUGUUCCACAGCCAGGACAAAAAACACACUGCUCCUCCUGGAUCUGCGAUUCGACUUCCCGACGGGCCCUCCUCUCCAGCACCCCUGAAUAGACCUUACCAGGGAGGCUGAGGAGUGUGAUCCCCCUGUAGAUGGAACACACCCUAAAAAGGGGGAACAUCCACUCCAGUCUGCCAAUACAGAGGCACUGUCCCCAAUGUCCACGCGAUGUUGCAGAGGCGUGUCAACCAGGACAGCCCCACAACAUCCAGCGCCUUUAGGAACUCCGGGCGAAUCUCAUCCACCCCUUGCCUUGCCACCGAGAAGCUUUUUAACCACCUCGUUGACCUCAACUCCAGAGAUAGGAUAGCCUGCCUCAGAGAGCCCAGACUCUGCUUCCUCAUGGGAAGGCGUGUUGGUGGAAUUGAGGCGGUCUUCGAAGUAUUCGCCCCACCGAAUCACAACAUCCCGAGUCGAGGUCAGCAGCGCCCCAUCCCCACUAUACACAGUGUUGAUGGUGGACUAGAAUUUCCUCGAAGCCGUCCGGAAGUCUUUCUCCAUGGCCUCACCAAACUCCUCCAAUGCCCGAGUUUUUGCUUCAGCGACCACCAAAGCUGCAUUCCGCUUGGCCAGCCGGUAGCCAUCAGAUGCCUCAAGAGUCCCACAGGCCAAAAAAGCCAGAUAGGACUCCUUCAGCUUGACGGCAUCCCUCACCGUUGGUAUCCACCAACGGAUUCGGGGAGAGAGAGGUCAACUUGUUGCUACUUUUGGUUUGUCCCAUUAGGUGUCGUAACAGCGAGUUACUUGCCUGAUUUGUUUGGCAGUCACAAUACAGUAAUGAAAUGAAGAAAAUGUUCUAUGUUAAAUUUUGUGGCAUGUUAUCUUAUAUGUUAAAAGCUAUCGCUAUGUGACUUUUUUUGGAAGCUUAUGUAAAUUGUUUUUGAAGGGGGGCAUUAUAUAAAAUCUCGCCGACAGCACCACAUUGCCUAGACCCUGCACGGGUCACUACAAAUGGAUUUUCUGUGGAUGUUUAAGGGAGUUAUUUUUAUCUAGGUCCAUAAAUUGAAGUAGGAAAUUCAACCAGACUCAGUAUUUUGAGAGACUAACCUUUAUAUACAAGUCUUGUAUAUAUGUCCAUAUGUCCUGUGAGCCAAUGUAUGGACGGACAAACUGGUUGAGGUUGAGAGAGGACACGCUCAUGAUUUGCCCUGGUUCUGACCAGCAAAUGAAAUGUUUGGCUGAUGUGACGAGCCUUGGAGCCGUCCCCUCAGACAGAAUCAGCAGUAAGGAUGAGGGCAAAGUUAGUUAGAAAAGUUAGUCAAAUAACCUUCAUAAAUCACCACAGUUCGGUUAAGUGCCGCUGAUUUCUAUUCAAAUCUCCCAUUUCAUGCUGUCUAAUAAAAUUAUGCACUGAUAGCCAAAACUUUGCGAUUGCUAAUGGCUGCGACAUCAUCCGGUCAAGAGGUGCGGCAUCUUUAGACGUAUAUGGUGCUUAGCCUCCAUUCU